UACGGAAGGCAGCAGUGGGGAAUAUUGCACAAUGGGCGCAAGCCUGAUGCAGCCAUGCCGCGUGUAUGAAAAAGGCCUUCGGGUUGUAAAGUACUUUCAGUCGUGAGGAAGGUGUUAAGGUUAAUAACCUUAGCAAUUGACGUUAGCGACAGAAGAAGCACCGGCUAACUCCGUGCCAGCAGCCGCGGUAAUACGGAGGGUGCGAGCGUUAAUCGGAAUUACUGGGCGUAAAGGGCACGCAGGCGGUUAAUAAGUUGGAUGUGAAAUCCCCGGGCUUAACCUGGGAAUGGCAUUCAAGACUGGUUAGCUAGAGUCUUGUAGAGGGGGUUAGAAUUCCAUGUGUAGCGGUGAAAUGCGUAGAGAUGUGGAGGAAUACCGGUGCGAAGGCGGCCCCUGGACAAAGACUGACGCUCAUGUGCGAAAGCGUGGGGAGCAAACAGGGAUUAGAUACC
RNAcentral lists this ribosomal RNA (452 nucleotides) under uncultured bacterium. RNAcentral describes it as "bacterial SSU rRNA". It matches the Rfam family "Bacterial small subunit ribosomal RNA", at positions 340 to 786 of the family's 1533-position model. The record is from RNAcentral.